UGUUAACUUUAUUCGUUCUCACGGUCAGAUUCCCACGGUCCGUAUUUUACUUCCUGCGCUGACACAUUAAAGAUGGAGAUCGACAGCAACAACAUCAGCGGGAGCAGUGGAAACGAGUCAUAAGUAUGCUUAAAUUCAAGGAAUAAAUGUUGCGUAUGCUAUGAUAUGGACAUAAAUGCAUUUUUAGUUCCUUGUGCUCAUAAGUUUUGUUUUCCUUGUGCCACAAGAGUCAAGACUACAGGACAGCCCUGCCCAAUAUGCAGAACUGACAUUACAAAUGUGGGAUCACUAGUAAGCAGUGACAUGUAAAAAUGAUGAUAGUUUACUGUUGUAGGAUUGUGUAUGGUAGGAUGCCAUACAUGUUUUCAUGAGGAAUUGAUAUCGUCUUAAGCUCACUUGGUGGCAUCAUUAGUAAGCAGUGAAGAGUAACAAUAAUAAUGAUUGUACUGUAUGAAAGGAUGUCAUACACGUUUUCAUUAAAAUUGAUAUUGUA
This is a long non-coding RNA of Mytilus trossulus (common blue mussel), 493 nucleotides long. RefSeq lists it as uncharacterized. The transcript has 2 exons. Lineage: Eukaryota; Metazoa; Mollusca; Bivalvia; Mytilida; Mytilidae. The record is from RefSeq and is a predicted model, not a curated record.